AGCUCCAUGCUGGCCCUGCUAUUUGUAAGCAUCUUGAUUGCACGAUGCCUUAAUUUCCUCAUCUGUUGUAGGUAGGUAUGGGGUCAGAGGAAAUAGAGGCCCAGAGCAAAGCAGAAGUCCUCAAGGUAUAAAGCAGGGAGAUGAGGACAAAUGCAGGUCAUAAUGAGAGAGAAAGGAGGCCUGGGGCAGAGAGGGGCUAUGAGCAUGCUGGGGCCGAGAGACUGGAAAUCUUAAGGGAAGAGGAGCGCCAGGCCAGGGAUUCUGUGCCUACGCGGCAGGGUCUCCCUCUAGAAUGUGCUGGACAGCUCCUGAGGUAGAGGCCUGGCCCUGGGUGCUGCAGAGCUCACAGGGCCUGGAGGGGUUGGAUCCAGAGCCUUUGACCCUGACCUAAAAGCAAUGGAACCCAGCAAGCACAGACGGAAACCUCUGCAACCUCAAGCUAAAACCAAC
Long non-coding RNA from Fukomys damarensis (Damara mole-rat), 450 nucleotides. RefSeq lists it as uncharacterized. NCBI's taxonomy places the organism in Eukaryota, Metazoa, Chordata, Mammalia, Rodentia, Bathyergidae. The record is from RefSeq and is a predicted model, not a curated record. The transcript is spliced from 3 exons.